ACGAACGCUGGCGGCGCGCCUAACACAUGCAAGUCGAACGGAGCUGAGAGAAGCCUGCUUUUCUUAGCUUAGUGGCGAACGGGUGAGUAACGCGUGAGUAACCUGCCCUGGAGUGGGGGACAACAGUUGGAAACGACUGCUAAUACCGCAUAAGCCCACGAUCCGGCAUCGGAUUGAGGGAAAAGGAUUUAUUCGCUUCAGGAUGGACUCGCGUCCAAUUAGCUAGUUGGUGAGGUAACGGCCCACCAAGGCGACGAUUGGUAGCCGGACUGAGAGGUUGAACGGCCACAUUGGGACUGAGACACGGCCCAGACUCCUACGGGAGGCAGCAGUGGGGGAUAUUGCACAAUGGGGGAAACCCUGAUGCAGCGACGCCGCGUGGAGGAAGAAGGUUUUCGGAUUGUAAACUCCUGUCGUUAGGGACGAUAAUGACGGUACCCAACAAGAAAGCACCGGCUAACUACGUG
RNAcentral lists this ribosomal RNA (467 nucleotides) under uncultured bacterium. RNAcentral describes it as "partial 16S ribosomal RNA". It matches the Rfam family "Bacterial small subunit ribosomal RNA", at positions 29 to 507 of the family's 1533-position model. The record is from RNAcentral.